This is a long non-coding RNA of Oncorhynchus mykiss (rainbow trout), 3344 nucleotides long. RefSeq lists it as uncharacterized. The record is from RefSeq and is a predicted model, not a curated record. Lineage: Eukaryota; Metazoa; Chordata; Actinopteri; Salmoniformes; Salmonidae.
ACCCCAAUAGGGCUGAUAAUUUUGCCAGCUUCUGGUUGACUGGCUGGCUAAAUGGCUGGUUACAUAAGUAUUUGUUUGGUUCUCUGUUUUGUUGACUGGCUGGCUGUUUUAGACUCCUUUGUGAUAAAUUGGGCUUUACGCUAAAUAGCGCCGUUAGCAUUUACGUUGAGUGCCAUUUAUCAUCUCGACUGCCGAUCAGUUACUACUACAGUAUGUUCCCAUGUUGUCCGGGCUAUUCCUGUCAGGAUACCCUGUGGCAGUACUGGUAGGACUGCUGAUCUCCAUAUGUUUUCCAUGGGCCAGGUGGCUCUGGGCGCACAGCGGCAGGAAGUGUUAGCCAGGGAUUAGGCCUAGCGGGUGCUGGGUUAUCAGCUGGCUUCUUCACUCACAGCAUGGCUGACACUAAGCCCUGGAAAUAAGCAGGGGGUUUUAUUAGCAACGUGCCCCAGGAACGGGUGAUCUACCUGGGAGGAAAAGGGCGGGGGUCCCAGAGGCUCACUGUGUAUGGCAGGUGUCGUCGUCGGUGUUGCUAGGCAACCGUGUUCAGGAAGUGGCGGGGUGUGAGGGGGAGGAAAUGGGACGUUUGGUGUAAACACACAAACACUGAUAAAGCUACCUCUUCACACACAUGUACACACACUUAAAGAUAUAUUAUGUUUCUAUGUGCUAUUUUUCACACACACUUACGAUACAAUGUCCCCCUCAUACACCCACAUGUGCAUGCACCCACACAUACACACCAGUGUAAGGCCCCAAUUCUCCCAUAAAGGCUCUAGAUUGAGAGAAUCACCCAUACCACAGACAAUUAACCCGCAAAGCCACAGUCAAUUUGCUUGUUUAAAUAGCCCUAACCAUUACGAGGUGUGUCCAAGCACUGCCAACCCAAAACUAAACAUUGGAUUUGAGCAAGCUGCAGGUUUACCAGCCAAUAUAUAAAAUAACGCUCUUCUAUAAAUACCUGAACACAUAUAACAUUUAAAACAUGUCUCAUCCAUAAACCUAGAGUUUCUAGACUAGGGACCUUAUAGACACUGUAGGUUUGGGAUAGCAUGUUACAAGGGUGUAGCAAUGGUUUUACUGUGGAGAACUAAGUACUAAUGGUUCAAUGUGGAGAGAGGGAGUGAGUGACAGAAGGAGAGACAGAGAGAGUGAGAAGUAUGUGUGUGAAAUGUAUAUGUGCUUGCGUGUUGGCCACAGCAGUGACAUAAUGUGUCUCUCUCUGGCGCUGUGGUCGGUGUGUGUGUGUGUGUGUGUGUGUGUGUGUGUGUUUUAAAGCUCAGCAAAAGUGAUGACGCAAUGACGUCACACCAUAACAGAAAUGUCCUAUCAACUUAUACUCCCAAAAUAGCCUACAACACGGCCCAUCAGAAAUGCACAGCGAUACAAAUCACAUGUGGCUCUGGGCACAGCAGUGCUAAUUUAAUGGGACUCAAAUGCCAGGCAUUAGAAGAAUGCUGAGAGCAUUCCUGAACCACACCUACUACCAAGAUAACACAUGUCUAGCCUGAAGUCAUAUGAUUAACCUAACAGAUGAAUAUAGUACUUCACCUCUAACACUUUAAUAGAAACAGGUCUGGUAUGGAGUACCAGUAAAUAAAUAGUAGGGGUAUGCCGUACUGGUAAAACAUGUGGACAUAUCACAAUAAUUAAAACAAAGAUUCUAUUUGUCAUUACCGCAUGUCAGUCGCAUGAAAAAUGAGCAAAUAGACUUGAACUUGUGGAAUACACUCCAAAAUGUGGUGUGACUGAGACUCGAGCGGACAGCAGUGUAUGCAUACAUUUUGAUGUUUUGUAAAUCACUUACGUCUCUUUGCAUUUAUCAAAUGGCAUACAAAUGGGAACAGGAGUUGAGAAAUUUGAUUUAUUUCUUUCCGCAUCUUGAGAGAAUAAAAGUUGACAUUCAAGACUAAAUGAAAUACUAUCAGUUGUUUGAUCGUUUUCACAGCUUUUCAUUUCCUUUAAACUGAUGUCAUUUGGAAAUCUCCCUGGUCCCUAAAUGUCCUCAAAUUUAACCAAUCUCAACUAGAUUGUUGAUUUAUGACAUUCUAGCGAGCAAGGGCUUAUUUAGAGUUCUAGACAAGCAUUAAGUAAUGACAGAAGAAAAGCUGCACAUUUCUAAUUAUAGACAAGUUGGCUAACAAAUAGCCUUCCAAAUGUCAGAAAUUAUAAGCAGAAAAAUAUGUACAUGAGGCUUAAAAAGUCCUAUGCUCUAUUUCACUAUAUAUGUCCAUUAAUAUGUUAACUUAUCCUAUGUGUCAUAAAAAAAAAUAUUUGAAAAAUCCUCACUACACGCAAAUACGAGCGUUUCUGCAUCUCACCGGUAGAAACGGGCCAGCUACAUUUCGUGGUUGUAAAGCAAACGAUAAUAUCCAGAUUUCAGGACGUAUGUCCACCGCUCUGUGGAGGUGUAUCCAGUUGAUGUGAGAAAUAUACAAAUGCCUGUAUUUGUAACCAGCACUUUCAGCCAGAGUGUUUCAAAACGGAACUGAAGUCUCAACUGAUGAUUUUUUCCAUGUCGUCGACUGUUGAAAAGUGAUGCUAUUCCAUCAAUUUCCUACUUCACUUCGAAGAGGAAGGGAUCCAAUCAGCCAACAUCAACGCUGCAGAAAAAAAAGUAAAGUCGAGAGUCCGAUUCCAACAACAUCUGCAGUGGCAUCAACAUCAAGCUCAGCACCAGAAACUAGUAGACUAAUCCUGCUGCUGAUGAUUCAUCUUGCUGACCAUGACCAUGACACCAGCUUUAGUAGUACAGAGCCUUUAGACCCAUUGGAUGACAACUUUAAGCCUGGAAUAAGCUCAAGGCCAACAUCAUCUGACUUUGAACCAAGCCACGACAGCCAAGGGAGACAUAGAAAUCAUCUGCAAAGAGGUCGAAGCAGUGGGUGGUGAAGAACAUCACCACAGCGCCAAAGCCUGCUAAACCAGCUGCCAUUACCCAACACAAGAAGACGUUCAGCACACAAACAUUCUGGAACCUGCCAGGAACAUUCAACCAACGAAUCAUCCAUAUUCAGUUAGACUGAUGCUGUAGUAUAAUAUAGAAUGCCUAGUAUGCUCAACUGCAUUGUGGUAUAGUUAUUGCUAGCUGUUGAACAUAUGUAUAUAAUGGUGUUUUAUACAUUUUUUUUAUAUAUAUAUUUUAUACAAGUGUACUGACAAGUGACUAAAUGAUUCCAGCUGCAUUAGAAACCAAUAGUGCCGACUUCAAAUUGUGAUAUUCAUGAAAUGUACUUUGGUAAACUAGCUUCAAUCUUACUGCUAAAACAAAUGAUGGUUGUUGGUGUAUCAUUUAAACUUGAAUUUGUUGGCAAGUAAACAUGUUAAAAUAAAACAUUUGUUUUCAA